UCUCCGUAGGUGAACCUGCGGAGGGAUCAUUACAAGUGACCCCGGUCUUACCACCGGGAUGUUCAUAACCCUUUGUUGUCCGACUCUGUUGCCUCCGGGGCGACCCUGCCUUCGGGCGGGGGCUCCGGGUGGACACUUCAAACUCUUGCGUAACUUUGCAGUCUGAGUAAACUUAAUCAAUAAAUUAAAACUUUUAACAACGGAUCUCUUGGUUCUG
Molecule: unclassified non-coding RNA, 217 nt
Filed under: plant metagenome
Description: partial contains small subunit ribosomal RNA, internal transcribed spacer 1, and 5.8S ribosomal RNA
Source: RNAcentral